AGAGAUGUUGGCUCUCAUAGAACCUGUAGCAACGAAGAAGAAUGUGGUUCUAGAUAAAUUAGAUAACAGAAUAACUGAACAAGUGAAAAAUAACGCCUGGGAGAGUGUAGCUACGGAGGUGAAUCUUGUCGCUUGCGUACAGAGGAAUGUGAAUGAAGUGCGUAGGAAGUUCACAAACCUAAGAGCAGCCGUGAAGGAAAAGGCAGCACAAGAGAGAGAGAGAGAGAGAGAAAAAAAAAAAAAAAAAAAAAAACACACACGGGAGGAACAGGUGGUGGCCCAGCAGUUCUGACAAACUACAGUCCUGUUGAAGAAGCUAUGUUAACACUGAUUGAGCCUGUUGCUAUUACUGGCUUACUAGGGGUUUUAUGAAAAUGAGACAGAAGUUGAUGAUGUUACAGAACCAACUCCUGGGCCAUCUGGGACAGCAUCUCAGAUCAUAACAGACUCAGCAGUUAUUGUAACAUUGGAUGAGGGAACUUCAGCAGAGCAAGAAAUGACAAUACCCAUUGUGUCAAUGGACCACAUCCUCAGAAUUACCUCCUUUUUUAAUAGAACACAGUAACACUCAGGAUGGAUUUAGUGCAACAGUCCAACAAGCAGAGCACUUUCAAGAACAGAGCAUCUCAGCUUGAGUCAGGAGGAGGUAGUAGGCUUGAGGUAGUGCAUGGUCAAAAAAGCAGAUCAGAAGAAAGGAGAAUUUUGCCUGACAUGCUUCAGGUACAAACAAAUAUAGAAAGUCACCUGAAACAGCUUGUAAGCUCAGUGAAGGACACUGCAUCAGCAUUACAAAUAAUUGCUGGUGCUAUGAAAGAUAAGGCGUGCGUUCCAUGCAAUACUAGUCUUAAUCUACUCAGUUAUAGUACACAGUUGACAUUAAUUUGUGAUAGGCAUUUGUGGUCAUAAUGCACCAUGA
Molecule: RNA transcript, 916 nt
Organism: Penaeus monodon (black tiger shrimp)
Lineage: Eukaryota; Metazoa; Arthropoda; Malacostraca; Decapoda; Penaeidae
Exons: 3
Source: RefSeq, a predicted model, not a curated record